AUCUAGUGAGAUUAGGAAGAUCAAGAGAAGUGAUCUCACUAAUCUAGUGAGAUUAGGAAGAUCACACUCGGAACAUAGUCUACAUAAGGCACGCUCAUUACCAUGUAAAUAAAUUCGAUUCUAGGAUUGUUUAGCAGCAAUCAAACUCUAAUUAACCUCAAUACUUACUUGAGAACGAUCAUAACUUUAUCCCCAGUUAUUAAGAACCCAGUUACCCAGUCAGACGCUCAAUUGCUUUAACCCACUGUAUUUUACCAUAAGAACAGGUUACCCCGAUACCUUGAUCGUAACACUCCACUUGUUAUUUUCAAAGGAAAAUCGGUGCAACAAUAAUGGUUUCCAACAAAUAUAACUUGUUAUCGUGGGUGGAAGUUUACCGCUGCGGAAAAUGGCUGGACUGAUAAUCUUACUGCCUUGGAAUGGUUGCAAACCGUCUUUUUACCUGGUACUAUUCCGGAGGACCCCGAGGCGGCUAGAUUAUUAAUUCUCGACGGCCAUAAAUCACAUACAAUACCAGAAUUUAUGGCUCAAUGCUUCCUUAAUAACGUAUAUGUGGUUUACCUCCCGCCUCACGCAUUUCACAUUUUACAACCACUCGAUUUGUCGGUUUUUUCGGUAUUUAAGGAAGCGUAUCGACGUUGGAUCUCUCUCGUUCAGCCGAAUUUAACAAUUUAACGGUUAUUAAAAACCGACUUUUUCUUAAAAGCUAUUAUCAAACACAUUUUAAAACAUUAACCGAGCGGAUUAUUAAGAGCGGUUGGCGGGCAGCGGGUUUAUAACCGGUUAAUAUAAACAAACCAUUAUUAAACCCCCUAUUUUUGGAAAAUCGAAAUUUUUAACAACAAAUUCCAACAAAGCCUCGCCUAAUACGCGUCCAAAUCGCCUUUUCACCUAAAAACCCUGGGGAUAUAUCGCGUUCCAUUCAAAACAGCUUUUUAGUGGGUUGGAAACCCCGGAAAGUGCGAAAAAUAUCAAAUCGCAAUUAGGCUUUUAUUUUCGGUUAACCGGAAGCGAUUCCACGCAGCGAUUAUUAUUUUCGAAAAUCCAAAAAGGUUGGGAUUCCAAAAACCUAAAACUGGCAAUAGCUUAUCGACGAAUUAACCAAUUGGAAUCGCAAUUUGCGGCCGUGGUACCACGGGAAAGAUAGAGGGUUAAUCCGGAUCCAAAUAUUAUGUUCGUUGGGCUAAAGGAGAUAUAACGGGUUCAAACCCGGGCGGAAACAGUUUAAACAAACGUGGAGGAAUCUCCUAAAGUUCCUAAUUCCUCAGAUAUAGGUGAUUAUAUUGUUGCAACUGUUAAAAUUGUCAAUAUAACGAGAUGUUUUGUGGUUUUAUAAUUUGUAUUUCUAUUUUUAAGGGUGACGGUUGAGGGGCGCUCUGAUUUGAGUUUGCUAAAUUUUAAUUAGGGUGUUUUUUAAUAUAUUUUAACGAAAGGCCCGCCAUUUCGCUCCCCCACAUUAAUUUUGUUCAAAUCUGACAGGCCGAAACUUUUUACUGCGGGCUGUAUAAGUAAUAUCCCUGGUGCCCGUUUCGCCCGUGCGAAAGCGUCAAAUUAAUAUUAGGCAUUAUAUAGGAAACGCUUCCUAUUAAUUCGAAAACGGACGCACCGCUGAAAUUUUCCCCCGACGGAAUUUGACACCACGAACAUGUAAAGCCGGGAAAUGCGACUAUUUCGAAAUACCACGUUAUUAAUAAUAGUUAUUAAUCUCAAAGCAGAAGCCUGUUACGACCAGGGGGAAUUAACACGAUUGGGUAAGAUCGGAAGAGGUGUCGGGAACCCAAAUUGGAACCACCAAAAAUUACGAACUAGGAAUAAGACCAGAGGAGCAGGAAGUUACGUGGUAAUACGAUAAGGAACCCUAACCCGAUUACCGAACGGACGUAAUCGCAGUUACCGCCAAGGAGGUAAUUAACCCCAGUCGUAAUUAUUUUGGAGUGAUUAUAAUUACUUAUAUAAAAUGAUUAUUUGUUUAUAUAAAACACGCUCGUUACCAUGUAAAUAGAACUUAGUUUAGGAUUAUUUAUUAGCAAUUAAUUUAUUAUUUACCCAGGAAUCGAUUAUAAUUUCACCCCAGUUAUUAAGAAUUUUUAAAUACCCAGUCAAAUGUUUAAUUGUUUCAACCCACUGUAUUUUACUAUAAGAAUAUAUUACCCGAUAUUUUAAUCGUAACAAAGCCCUCAAUUUCCUAUCCUGGUCGUGCAUGGAAGAUUCUCGUACCACGGGAAUUUUUAUUUAUAAGGAUAGAAAUAUGCUCCAAAAUUAUUAUUAAUUUCGCGCACUAUUAAUUAAAACCCGUGUUUAGUGGCAUAUUAAUUUGGCAGGUUCAAAUAUAAUUUAAUGUUUUAAAAGGUUGCUACGGGAGGAAAAUUGGCGACCGUUGCAUCCAUAAUUCCAAUAUCGCGGUUUUGGGCGGCUUCCCACUAUUCGAACGUUAUAUAAUAUGUUUUUCUGUUUUACAUUUCGAAUUACUAAUAUUCCGGAACCUGUAUUUAUAAAAUCAGGUACCUGUUGCUAAUAUAUUUGGUUUUGUGGCCGGAGGUUGAAAUAAUUACGCGAAUAUAAGCCUGAUAUUUUGCAAAAAAUUAUAAAAUAAUAUGGAAUUAGCUCAUUUAUAAUUUAAAUAUA
This 2625-nucleotide small RNA is filed under the name Pyricularia oryzae. Its description in RNAcentral is "Magnaporthe oryzae sRNA M_BR32_EuGene_00085511". The record is from RNAcentral. Lineage: Eukaryota; Fungi; Ascomycota; Sordariomycetes; Magnaporthales; Pyriculariaceae.